RNAcentral lists this ribosomal RNA (279 nucleotides) under uncultured bacterium. RNAcentral describes it as "partial 16S ribosomal RNA". It matches the Rfam family "Bacterial small subunit ribosomal RNA", at positions 506 to 784 of the family's 1533-position model. The record is from RNAcentral.
UGCCAGCAGCCGCGGUAAUACGGAGGGUGCGAGCGUUAAUCGGAAUCACUGGGCGUAAAGCGCGCGUAGGCGGUUAUAUAUGUCAGAUGUGAAAGCCCUGGGCUUAACCUGGGAACGGCAUUUGAAACGGUAUAACUAGAGUUUGGUAGAGGGAAGUGGAAUUCCGAGUGUAGCGGUGAAAUGCGUAGAUAUUCGGAGGAACAUCAAUGGCGAAGGCAACUUUCUGGCCCAAAACUGACGCUGAGGUGCGAAAGCGUGGGUAGCAAACAGGAUUAGAUA